RNAcentral lists this ribosomal RNA (253 nucleotides) under uncultured bacterium. RNAcentral describes it as "partial 16S ribosomal RNA". It matches the Rfam family "Bacterial small subunit ribosomal RNA", at positions 524 to 776 of the family's 1533-position model. The record is from RNAcentral.
UACGGAGGGUGCAAGCGUUAUCCGGAUUCACUGGGUUUAAAGGGUGCGUAGGUGGGUUGGUAAGUCAGUGGUGAAAUCUCCGGGCUUAACCCGGAAACUGCCGUUGAUACUAUCAAUCUUGAAUAUCGCGUAGGUAAGCGGAAUAUGUCAUGUAGCGGUGAAAUGCUUAGAUAUGACAUAGAACACCAAUUGCGAAGGCAGCUCACUAAACAGACAUUGACGCUGAGGCACGAAAGCGUGGGGAUCAAACAGG